This 492-nucleotide ribosomal RNA is filed under the name uncultured bacterium. Its description in RNAcentral is "partial 16S ribosomal RNA". It matches the Rfam family "Bacterial small subunit ribosomal RNA", at positions 29 to 507 of the family's 1533-position model. The record is from RNAcentral.
AGUGAACGCUGGCGGUAGGCCUAACACAUGCAAGUCGAACGGCAGCACAGUAAGAGCUUGCUCUUACGGGUGGCGAGUGGCGGACGGGUGAGGAAUACAUCGGAAUCUACUUUUUCGUGGGGGAUCACGUAGGGAAACUUACGCUAAUACCGCAUACGACCUACGGGUGAAAGCAGGGGAUCUUCGGCCCUUGCGCGAUUGAAUGAGCCGAUGUCGGAUUAGCUAGUUGGCGGGGUAAAGGCCCACCAAGGCGACGAUCCGUAGCUGGUCUGAGAGGAUGAUCAGCCACACUGGAACUGAGACACGGUCCAGACUCCUACGGGAGGCAGCAGUGGGGAAUAUUGGACAAUGGGCGCAAGCCUGAUCCAGCCAUACCGCGUGGGUGAAGAAGGCCUUCGGGUUGUAAAGCCCUUUUGUUGGGAAAGAAAAGCAGAAGGUUAAUACCCCGCUGUUCUGACGGUACCCAAAGAAUAAGCACCGGCUAACUUCGUG